GGCUCAGUGGUUAAAGCACUUGGCUGCUAACCAAAAGGUCAGUGGUUCGAACUCACCAGCCACU
This 64-nucleotide transfer RNA is filed under the name Loxodonta africana (African savanna elephant). It matches the Rfam family "tRNA", at positions 9 to 63 of the family's 71-position model. From Rfam's summary of the family: Transfer RNA (tRNA) molecules are approximately 80 nucleotides in length. Their secondary structure includes four short double-helical elements and three loops (D, anti-codon, and T loops). Lineage: Eukaryota; Metazoa; Chordata; Mammalia; Proboscidea; Elephantidae. The record is from Rfam by way of RNAcentral.